Acanthosepion pharaonis is the source of this 111-nucleotide non-coding RNA. Lineage: Eukaryota; Metazoa; Mollusca; Cephalopoda; Sepiida; Sepiidae. The record is from the annotation of a GenBank genome assembly.
UGACCAUAUCACAUUGAAACACCGGUUCUCGUACGAUCACCGAAGUUAAGCAACGUUGGGUCUCUUCAGUACAUAGAUGGGUGGCUGUUUAGAAAUCCCAGGUGCUGUAAG